Long non-coding RNA from Haliotis rubra (blacklip abalone), 140 nucleotides. RefSeq lists it as uncharacterized. The record is from RefSeq and is a predicted model, not a curated record. NCBI's taxonomy places the organism in Eukaryota, Metazoa, Mollusca, Gastropoda, Lepetellida, Haliotidae. The transcript is spliced from 2 exons.
UUUUAAGUAUUGUCUAUCUUUAUUAGCGUUUGGUAAGCAAGUAAUAACACCUCUGUUUACAGUGUCCGAUAGCUUUUCUUCCACAAAACUUCUGAAAUAAACCUAAAAAUCCAUUUUCCUAUAUCUUUAAAAAAAACCUU